GACGAACGCUGGCGGCGUGCUUAACACAUGCAAGUCGAGCGGUAAGGCCCUUUCGGGGGUACACGAGCGGCGAACGGGUGAGUAACACGUGGGUGACCUGCCCUCAGCUCUGGGAUAAGCCUGGGAAACCGGGUCUAAUACUGGAUAUGACUCCAUGACGCAUGUUGUGGGGUGGAAAGCCUUGUGCGGCUGAGGAUGGGCCCGCGGCCUAUCAGCUUGUUGGUGGGGUGANGGCCUACCAAGGCGACGACGGGUAGCCGGCCUGAGAGGGCGACCGGCCACACUGGGACUGAGACACGGCCCAGACUCCUACGGGAGGCAGCAGUGGGGAAUCUUGCGCAAUGGGCGAAAGCCUGAUCCAGCGACGCCGCGUGGGUGAAGAAGGCCUGCGGGUUGUAAAGCCCUUCAGUGGGGAAGAAAAGCCUCGACCUAACACGUCGGGUCUUGACGUAACCCAUAGAAGAAGCACCGGCUAACUCUGUGCCAGCAGCCGCCGUAAG
This 500-nucleotide ribosomal RNA is filed under the name uncultured bacterium. Its description in RNAcentral is "partial 16S ribosomal RNA". It matches the Rfam family "Bacterial small subunit ribosomal RNA", at positions 28 to 524 of the family's 1533-position model. The record is from RNAcentral.